AUCCGAAACGGCGGCGGCCGGCGGACAAAAUAUGCUGAGCGCCGACGGACGGUGGCCGAGCGGAGGCAAACUACCUCAACGGCACACCGGCCCUUGUGGCAAAAAGCCAAGGAGACGUCAGCGGAUCAGCCAAGUCGACCUGGCAGAGAGCACGCAGAUUUAACUGCUUCAGUUAAAAUUCGUGGAUAAUAUUUAAAGUCUCCUAAACAUAAUGGUUUGUGCUUUGAUUGCUUAAUACUACGAUGAAGAUAUCGCAGAACAAAAUUAAAAAUCGACAGCAAAUCUGAUUCGUAUUUGUGAAUACUUUCGCUGUAAAAGUUUUUCAUGUACACAGUAAAUAAAGACAAACAUAAAGAA
Long non-coding RNA from Peromyscus maniculatus bairdii (prairie deer mouse), 357 nucleotides. RefSeq lists it as uncharacterized. The record is from RefSeq and is a predicted model, not a curated record. Lineage: Eukaryota; Metazoa; Chordata; Mammalia; Rodentia; Cricetidae.